This 253-nucleotide ribosomal RNA is filed under the name uncultured bacterium. RNAcentral's name for it is "partial 16S ribosomal RNA". It matches the Rfam family "Bacterial small subunit ribosomal RNA", at positions 524 to 776 of the family's 1533-position model. The record is from RNAcentral.
UACGUAGGUGGCAAGCGUUGUCCGGAUUUAUUGGGCGUAAAGCGAGCGCAGGCGGUUCUUUAAGUCUGAUGUGAAAGCCCCCGGCUCAACCGGGGAGGGUCAUUGGAAACUGGAGAACUUGAGUGCAGAAGAGGAGAGUGGAAUUCCACGUGUAGCGGUGAAAUGCGUAGAUAUGUGGAGGAACACCAGUGGCGAAGGCGACUCUCUGGUCUGUAACUGACGCUGAGGCUCGAAAGCGUGGGAAGCAAACAGG